The sequence is a non-coding RNA, 189 nucleotides long. It matches the Rfam family "Lysine riboswitch aptamer". Rfam says of the family: Riboswitches are metabolite binding domains within certain messenger RNAs that serve as precision sensors for their corresponding targets. Allosteric rearrangement of mRNA structure is mediated by ligand binding, and this results in modulation of gene expression. This family includes riboswitches that sense lysine in a number of genes involved in lysine metabolism, including lysC.
AAUGGGGAUAGAGGCGCAAAACGAAUGAGUAAGGUAUCUGAGCAUAUAAUGGAUUGCGAAGAAGAUAUCUGAAAGGUCAAUUUGCCGAAGUGGGAUAAAGGACCAACCUUUUCUUGCUGGGCUGCUGCUGAAUAGGCUGCAGACUGUCACUGUUAGAUGGAUAUCUUUCAGUGGUGAGCUAAUCCAACU